UGGGGAAUAUUGCACAAUGGGGGAAACCCUGAUGCAGCAACGCCGCGUGAGUGAUGACGGUCUUCGGAUUGUAAAGCUCUGUCUUCAGGGACGAUAAUGACGGUACCUGAGGAGGAAGCCACGGCUAACUACGUGCCAGCAGCCGCGGUAAUACGUAGGUGGCAAGCGUUGUCCGGAUUUACUGGGCGGAAAGGGAGCGUAGGCGGAUAUUUAAGUGGGAUGUGAAAUACUCGGGCUUAACCUGGGUGCUGCAUUCCAAACUGGAUAUCUAGAGUGCAGGAGAGGAAAGUAGAAUUCCUAGUGUAGCGGUGAAAUGCGUAGAGAUUAGGAAGAAUACCAGUGGCGAAGGCGACUUUCUGGACUGUAACUGACACUGAGGCUCGAAAGCGUGGGGAGCA
Molecule: ribosomal RNA, 398 nt
Filed under: uncultured bacterium
Lineage: Bacteria
Description: bacterial SSU rRNA
Rfam family: Bacterial small subunit ribosomal RNA
Source: RNAcentral